This is a non-coding RNA of Macaca mulatta (Rhesus monkey), 554 nucleotides long. The record is from RefSeq and is a predicted model, not a curated record. Lineage: Eukaryota; Metazoa; Chordata; Mammalia; Primates; Cercopithecidae.
AGUGCAAUGGAGAAGAAAGAGCAUGCUAAGCCUCAUUUACCCUCUUCACAGUAGAAUGAACACAGGCUUCGCUUUUCAUCCUGGCUUCAACUCUUACUCAGUGUAGAUACUGUGCUUUCUCCUGAACUUUGGUCAAACAAUUGUUGGUCAGGUAUUUAAGCAGCACUCAGACAGGCACCUCCACAUCCAGCCUGGGAGCUCUCAUCUGAAGCUGGGAUGUGCUUCACUGAACACAGCCUCUCUCUGCUGCUGGGCAGGUGCUGGCCUCCAAGAGGAUACAUUCCACAAGGUAAGAGAAAACAUGCCCCUGCCAUCUUAGGACUUGUACUCCAGUGACAGAGAGACUGAACUACCAAACAAGUAAACAAUUCAUCAUAAUAUGCCUCUUAAUUAGAUGAAUCAGGGUAAAGAAAGAGAGAAUACAUUAGUGGACAUAGUUUCACCUGAAAGAACGAAAUAAUGCUGAUUCAAAUGACUUAAACCACUGGUCCACAAACUGGCCCAUAGACCUAGCCUGACACCUGCUUUUGUAAAUAAAGUUUCAUUGGAACACA